This is a transfer RNA of Ipomoea nil (Japanese morning glory), 72 nucleotides long. It matches the Rfam family "tRNA". Rfam says of the family: Transfer RNA (tRNA) molecules are approximately 80 nucleotides in length. Lineage: Eukaryota; Viridiplantae; Streptophyta; Magnoliopsida; Solanales; Convolvulaceae. The record is from Rfam.
GCCUUCUAAGCUCAGUGGUAGAGCGCGUGGCUUUUAACCACGUGGACGUGGGUUCAAUCCCCACAGACGGUG